AUGGAUCCUAAUCAAUUUAAUUAUCAAUAUUAUGGGUAUAAAUCAUCAUCGCCUAAACCUGCAACACCUUCAAGUUAUGGGUAUAAUUCAUCAUCACCAAUGGAGCGUCCAAUGGGACAACAAGCAGCAAAAAGGAAGAGUAAGACAAAGGAAAAAGCAUCUGAAUCACCUUCUAAUGUUAUGCAAGAUACAUGGAAUAAAAGAGUAGUAACAAUGGAAAGACUAGAUCAAUAUAAGGAGGAAGAGAUAGAUUUUAAGGCAAUGCAAUUACUCAUGAAAGACAAUUCUAUGUUGAAUGAUAGUCAACGUGAUGUUCAUAAAAAAUAUUGUAAUAAGUUGAAAUAA
Non-coding RNA from Vicia faba (fava bean), 345 nucleotides. NCBI's taxonomy places the organism in Eukaryota, Viridiplantae, Streptophyta, Magnoliopsida, Fabales, Fabaceae. The record is from the annotation of a GenBank genome assembly.